RNA transcript from Pristis pectinata (smalltooth sawfish), 2854 nucleotides. It is a transcript of the gene named nemo-like kinase, type 2, with no coding region annotated. NCBI's taxonomy places the organism in Eukaryota, Metazoa, Chordata, Chondrichthyes, Rhinopristiformes, Pristidae. The record is from RefSeq and is a predicted model, not a curated record. The transcript has 12 exons.
GAUUAUUUAUGGAUGUUGGAUUUAAAAACUUUCCUAAAUUUACCUCAUGUAUGAGGUGAAAGUGCUCCGUAAUUCUAUCCUUUGAGAGGGGAGUCGGAUUAAAGGGGUUUCCCGAGGAAGAGCGGCGAGGAGGAGGAGGUGGAAUUUGCUGGAAAAUGGUGUAGAGGAGGAAGCGGCGGGUCGGCACGGAGCGAGGGCAGUGCGGCCGAGGCGGGGCCGGGGCCGGGGGGGGCGCGAGCCGGGCGCGCGCCGCGUCCGUUGGUCAUGGCGCUGUGCGGCACCAGCACGGCGGUGGCGGCGGCGGCGGGCCAGCAGCGCCAGAGCGUCGCCAAGCUGAUGGCUUAUAACGGCGCCGGGGCCGCCCACCACCAUCAUCACCACCAUCACCACCAUCAUCACAACAACCACCACCACCAUCACCACAACAACCAGCAGCAGCAGCCGCCGCCGCCUCCUCCUCAGUCGCAUCCCCACCAUCAUCUACAUCCCGGAGCCACUGGUGGUGUUGCCGGUGGUGGAGGAGGAGGGGGCGGCAUCGGUACAGCGGUACACCCGGUCCAGCAUCACCACCACCCGGCCUCCGCCGCCGCCUCGUCGUCGUCGUCCUCGUCGUCCUCGUCCGCUGCCGCCGCCGCUGCUGCUGCUGCCGCGGCGGCGGCGGCGGCAGCGGCGAUGCUGAACCCGGCUCAGGCGCCGUAUUUCCCGUCCCCGGCGCCCGCCGCCGCCGCCGCCACGGUGCAGAUUCACGCCGCUGCCGCCGCCGCCAAGGCACAUCAGCUGGACAUCGAGCCCGACAGACCCAUCGGAUAUGGAGCCUUCGGAGUAGUCUGGUCAGUGACGGAUCCUAGAGAUGGAAAAAGAGUCGCACUCAAAAAGAUGCCCAACGUCUUCCAGAAUCUAGUUUCCUGCAAGAGGGUCUUCCGUGAGUUGAAGAUGCUCUGCUUCUUCAAACAUGAUAAUGUGCUCUCUGCACUUGAUAUACUCCAACCUCCACACAUUGACUACUUUGAAGAAAUCUAUGUUGUCACUGAGCUAAUGCAAAGCGACCUUCACAAGAUCAUCGUGUCUCCACAACCAUUGAGUUCUGAUCAUGUCAAAGUUUUCCUCUACCAGAUUUUGAGAGGACUGAAGUAUCUGCAUUCAGCUGGCAUAUUACACCGGGACAUUAAGCCAGGAAAUCUUCUUGUGAACAGCAACUGUGUCCUCAAGAUCUGUGACUUUGGUCUUGCCAGAGUAGAAGAACUUGAUGAGUCUCGUCACAUGACCCAGGAAGUUGUCACUCAGUAUUACCGAGCGCCAGAGAUCCUGAUGGGCAGUCGCCAUUACACUAAUGCCAUUGAUAUCUGGUCUGUAGGGUGCAUCUUUGCAGAACUCUUAGGUCGUAGAAUCUUAUUUCAGGCUCAAAGUCCCAUUCAACAGUUGGACUUGAUCACAGAUCUGUUGGGAACUCCAUCAUUAGAAGCCAUGCGAACAGCUUGUGAGGGUGCCAAGGCUCACAUACUCAGGGGUCCUCAUAAACAGCCAUCACUUCCUGUCCUUUAUACGCUAUCCAGCCAGGCUACUCAUGAAGCUGUCCACCUCCUCUGCAGGAUGUUAGUCUUUGAUCCUUCAAAAAGAAUCUCUGCAAAGGAUGCCCUGGCACAUCCAUAUCUGGAUGAAGGACGGCUUCGAUACCACACUUGUAUGUGCAAAUGCUGUUAUACCACCUCUACGGGGCGAGUUUACACCAAUGAUUUUGAGCCCAUCACCAAUCCCAAAUUUGAUGACAGCUUUGAAAAAAAUCUAACAUCUGUUCGGCAGGUUAAAGAGCUCAUUCAUCAAUUCAUUCUGGAACAGCAGAAAGGAAACCGGGUUCCACUAUGUAUCAACCCACAGUCUGCUGCAUUUAAAAGCUUUAUCAGCUCCACAGUAGCUCAGCCCUCUGAGAUGCCCCCAUCUCCACUGGUAUGGGAGUAAGUGGAAGAAACUACUGAUGACAAAUAUUUUAGGUUCUCACUGGAGUCUAAAAUUUGCAGUACCAUUUAUGUCGGGACAAUAAACAGGGGCAAAAAAAAAUACUGAGAGCCUGCUGAGAAACCGGUUUCAAGACUUCUCCUGAGGUUCAUCAUCCUAUGUGACACGUUUGCCGGUCACUUUGUACAAUGUAGAUUUGAAGUACAGUGGUGGAAAUUCAUUAAAUGUGAUAUUUAAAACAAAAAAUCUGUGGUACUAGUCAGUUUGUGCUACUGUAUAUUUAAAGACAAGUCCUCAGUUUGUUAUAAUAUCCCUUUAUGAUUGUAAUAAGCCAUUAAUUCUCACACAUGCUUCUUUGAGUAAAAAUAUUUCCCUUAUGUUUGGUUGUUUUUUGUAAUGAAGUGCACAAACUUCUUUGUUGCUUUAUUCAAAUACACAAGACUUUCAUGUGUCCAUUCUGUGAACAUAUUUUAAAACCACUUCUGCAUCUUUAGUGAGACCUUGGAGGGGGAGAAAAUGGUAAAAAGAUGCUGAAUUUUCUUCCUCAGAUUGAACCAAGGAAGAUUUGGUUUUGGAUUACAACCAGUUAAUCAUUGAAAUGAAAAUAUAUUUAACUCCAUAAAGGAAACAAGCUAUUUAAAUGUUUUCAUUAUGUUUGGGGACAUGUUUGUUUUGGUAUAGAAUACUGUAUUUAGGAUUGAUUCAUUACCAAAGACUUGUCUUGAAUCGCUACUUGAAUAUCUACAACUAAUAGUGAAAUAAAUGAUUUUUACAAAGAAAUUAAAUGACCUUGAUAUUAAACCAUAAAUGACCUGGCAUGGUUUUAAGCAUAAAAACCAAAAAGGCUGUAAAUACUUGGGUCAGGCAGCAUCAGAGGAGCAAAGAACAGCAUUAACAAUAU